Molecule: long non-coding RNA, 678 nt
Filed under: Mytilus galloprovincialis (Mediterranean mussel)
Lineage: Eukaryota; Metazoa; Mollusca; Bivalvia; Mytilida; Mytilidae
Source: RNAcentral
CAUAAUUGCACUUACAUUUCAAGAUUAUCUUGAUACAUGUAUAUCCGAAAUAAUUCAAUAAAUGGUAUCUAUAAUCCAAGUGAUUUAUGAAAAUCAGUAGAAAAGAACAUGACGAUUUGAAAAAAUCUUAAACAUAUUCAUAUAAAUUAUGAUCUAAUAAGUCACCAAAACGCAAUGUUCAACUUGGAUAAAAAGUUUUAAAAAAUAUUCACCUAAUAAAUUUGAGAAUGGUGUUGUUUUUUAUCCAUGUAAUUCACAUAUUCACUUUUCACCAUACAAAGUGGUGUUUAAAUCUAAAGAUUUUGUUAAAGGAACAACAUGCACUAUGAGGAAUAUUUUGUAUUUACGUACUAGUAUUAACUCAGUUUCAAGCUGUGUUUGCAAGUGUUGACAGACUUGAUAUAAAUCUCUACAGAUUAGUUUAAUAAUGAUUAUAUCAUGCACUUGUAAGAAUGUGAAAGAAUAUCACAUUUAAUAUAUUUAUUGUAUACAUUACAUAAUUUGGAUUCGGAUAUCGUGUCUUCAAACAACUGCAUUCACAAAACUUUGUAAUACUUUUCAUAAUACAUGCAUGUUGAUUCAGCUAAAAUAUCAAAUAGAUAUCACAUUAGAAUUAGCCGUUUCAGAAUCUAAAGGACUAUGGGUAAUUUCAUUGUUCGUACCCCAAAAUGAAAAUAA